This 635-nucleotide unclassified non-coding RNA is filed under the name Hevea brasiliensis (rubber tree). The record is from RNAcentral. Lineage: Eukaryota; Viridiplantae; Streptophyta; Magnoliopsida; Malpighiales; Euphorbiaceae.
GGGGUGGGGGGCGCCGCGGAGGGGGUGGUUAAAUCUGUGAACACGGGAUAAAUUAGUAGGGGAAGAAGUGACCAGAAAAAAAGGGAGAAGGGAGACGUAAAAUAAUGUGGAGAAAAGUAGUAUUAAAGGAUUUACAAGUUUCGAGGAUUGAUGCAAACUUGGUGGCUAAUAGAGCUGAAUGGCGAAAAAGGAUCUAUAUUGCCGACCCCAACUAGCUUGGGAUUAAAACUGUUGUUGUUGGGUUAAAUCUGCCAAUAACCAAACCAAAUCAAUAAAUAGAAGAGCACAAAUCUUUUAUGUGGUUUUAUUCCAAUAGAGUAGGUUAUUCCUUAUGUGUAACAUCAGAACCACCUUUAGCAAUCCUGGUUCAAAUAAUUACAUGGGCAUUUAUCAUCCAUUUUACUAUCUCUUCACACUUGCCCCACUUGGGAUUUUUUUUCUUCCAAUUUUAAUUUUAGCUCCUUGUGUCCUUCCAUUUCUCUCAUUUCUACUUUCCCUUCUCUAUAUUCCAGACAGAAACUUUAGCACAUCCUCAAUUUCCUCCCUAUUUCAUUUGGCUUCCCAUUUGUUUCAUCCUUUUCUUGUCCUUUAAAUUGCUUUAUCUAUUUCUCAUCCUUAAGUAAUUCCAAGCUUGU